GUCUUGCUCUUUACAAGAAUUAAAAUACAAGUUGAAAUCCUUCAAAAUGGCCAAUCACACCAAUCAAUCUUAUCUUCUGGGAGUUUUAUGCAUUUUUCUGAUCAUCAAUUCAGGAUUCGUUACCAGUUUGGUAGUUCCUCCGGGAGGACAAUGUACAGUACCUUGCAUUGCAAAUUGUGAUAAGGAAUGUCGCUCCAAGGGGUUUCAAAGAGGACAAUGCUAUACUCGUCUUCUGAAGACGAGUUGUUGUUGUUUUCACUAAUAAGUUCCAUUGUAUUAUUGUGGUCAAAAUAAAUAAAACUGCACUAGAACAUGACUUUGGAAGAGACAAUUUCUAAUAAUUUUGUGUAAAUCAAUAAAACUUGUGAACAUGAUUAUCAACGAGUGCAACUCAUAAUACAAUAUAGGUUGUUAUUUGAAUUCU
This is a long non-coding RNA of Medicago truncatula (barrel medic), 424 nucleotides long. RefSeq lists it as uncharacterized. The record is from RefSeq and is a predicted model, not a curated record. Lineage: Eukaryota; Viridiplantae; Streptophyta; Magnoliopsida; Fabales; Fabaceae. The transcript is spliced from 2 exons.